RNAcentral lists this ribosomal RNA (292 nucleotides) under uncultured bacterium. Its description in RNAcentral is "partial 16S ribosomal RNA". It matches the Rfam family "Bacterial small subunit ribosomal RNA", at positions 505 to 796 of the family's 1533-position model. The record is from RNAcentral.
GUGUCAGCAGCCGCGGUAAUACAGAGGUCUCAAGCGUUGUUCGGAUUCAUUGGGCGUAAAGGGUGCGUAGGUGGUGAUGCAAGUCUGGUGUGAAAUCUCGGAGCUCAACUCCGAAAUUGCACCGGAUACUGCGUGACUCGAGGACUGUAGAGGAGAUCGGAAUUCACGGUGUAGCAGUGAAAUGCGUAGAUAUCGUGAGGAAGACCAGUUGCGAAGGCGGAUCUCUGGGCAGUUCCUGACACUGAGGCACGAAGGCCAGGGGAGCAAACGGGAUUAGAUACCCCGGUAGUCC